CUCUGUGACUCCUACGGGAGGCAGCAGUGGGGAAUAUUGCACAAUGGGCGCAAGCCUGAUGCAGCAACGCCGCGUGAGCGAUGAAGGCCUUCGGGUCGUAAAGCUCUGUCCUCAAGGAAGAAUAAAUGACGGUACUUGAGGAGGAAGCCCCCGGCUAACUACGUGCCAGCAGCCGCGGUAAUACGUAGGGGCAAGCGUUAUCCGGAAUCACUGGGCGUAAAGGGGUGCGUAGGCGGUUUUUCAAGUCAGAAGUGAAAGGCUAUGGCUCAACCAUAGUAAGCUUUUGAAACUGUUAAACUUGAGUGCAGGAGAGGAAAGUGGAAUUCCUAGUGUAGAGGUGAAAUUCGUAGAUAUUAGGAGGAACACCAGUGGCGAAGGCGACUUUCUGGACUGUAACUGACGCUGAGGCACGAAAGCGUGGGGAGCGAACAGGAUUAGAUACCCUGGUAG
This 450-nucleotide ribosomal RNA is filed under the name uncultured bacterium. RNAcentral's name for it is "bacterial SSU rRNA". It matches the Rfam family "Bacterial small subunit ribosomal RNA", at positions 328 to 793 of the family's 1533-position model. The record is from RNAcentral.